This 237-nucleotide ribosomal RNA is filed under the name uncultured bacterium. Its description in RNAcentral is "partial 16S ribosomal RNA". It matches the Rfam family "Bacterial small subunit ribosomal RNA", at positions 540 to 776 of the family's 1533-position model. The record is from RNAcentral.
GUUGUCCGGAUUUAUUGGGUUUAAAGGGUGCGUAGGUGGUCUUGUAAGUCAGUGCUGAAAUAUCCCGGCUUAACCGGGAGGGUGGCAUUGAUACUGCAGGACUUGAGUAAAGUUGAGGUAGGCGGAAUUGACGGUGUAGCGGUGAAAUGCUUAGAUAUCGUCAAGAACACCUAUUGCGAAGGCAGCUUACUAAGCUUUAACUGACACUGAGGCACGAAAGUGUGGGGAUCAAACAGG